RNAcentral lists this small RNA (127 nucleotides) under Marmota monax (woodchuck). The record is from RNAcentral. Lineage: Eukaryota; Metazoa; Chordata; Mammalia; Rodentia; Sciuridae.
GCCGGGCGCAGUGGCGCUCACCUGUAAUCCCUGUGGCAUGGGAGGCUGAGACAGGAGGAUUUCAAGUUCAAAGCCAGUCUCAGCAAAAAGCAAGGCACUGAACAACUCAGUGUAGACCCUGUCUCUA